RNAcentral lists this ribosomal RNA (288 nucleotides) under uncultured bacterium. RNAcentral describes it as "partial 16S ribosomal RNA". It matches the Rfam family "Bacterial small subunit ribosomal RNA", at positions 32 to 312 of the family's 1533-position model. The record is from RNAcentral.
AAUCAACGCUGGCGGCGUGCCUCAGACAUGCAAGUCGAACGCGAAAGUCCCCUUCGGGGAGUGAUUAGAGUGGCGCACGGGUGAGUAACACGUAGGUAAUCUACCUUCGAGUGGGGAAUAACUCAGGGAAACUUGAGCUAAUACCGCAUAAUGCAGCGGCACCACAUGGUGACAGUUGUUAAAGCAUUUAUGCGCUUGAAGAGGAGCCUGCGGCGGAUAGCUAGUUGGUAAGGUAAUGGCUUACCAAGGCUACGAUCUGUAACCGGCCUGAGAGGGCGGACGGUCACA